GACGAACGCUGGCGGCGUGCUUAACACAUGCAAGUCGAACGGUAAGGCCCUUCGGGGUACACGAGUGGCGAACGGGUGAGUAACACGUGGGUGAUCUGCCCUGCACUUCGGGAUAAGCCUGGGAAACUGGGUCUAAUACCGGAUAGGACCACUGCCUGCAUGGGUGGUGGUGGAAAGCUUUUGCGGUGUGGGAUGGGCCCGCGGCCUAUCAGCUUGUUGGUGGGGUGAUGGCCUACCAAGGCGACGACGGGUAGCCGGCCUGGGAGGGUGACCGGUCACACUGGGACUGAGCUCUGGACCAGACUCCUACGGGGGGCCGCAGUGGGGAAGAUUGCACAAUGGGCGCAGGCCUGAUGCAGCGACGCCGCGGGAGGGAUGACGGCCUUCGGGUUGUAAACCUCUUUCAGCACCGACGAAGCGCAAGUGACGGUAGGUGCAGAAGAAGGACCGGCCAACUACGUGCCAGCCGCCGCCGUAA
This 478-nucleotide ribosomal RNA is filed under the name uncultured bacterium. RNAcentral describes it as "partial 16S ribosomal RNA". It matches the Rfam family "Bacterial small subunit ribosomal RNA", at positions 28 to 523 of the family's 1533-position model. The record is from RNAcentral.